This 257-nucleotide ribosomal RNA is filed under the name uncultured bacterium. RNAcentral's name for it is "partial 16S ribosomal RNA". It matches the Rfam family "Bacterial small subunit ribosomal RNA", at positions 99 to 354 of the family's 1533-position model. The record is from RNAcentral.
CGGACGGGUGAGUAACACGUGAGCAACCUGCCUUUCAGAGGGGGAUAACGUUUGGAAACGAACGCUAAUACCGCAUAAAAUAUCGGAGUCGCAUGGCACUGAUAUCAAAGGAGCAAUCCGCUGAAAGAUGGGCUCGCGUCCGAUUAGGCAGUUGGCGGGGUAACGGCCCACCAAACCGACAAUCGGUAGCCGGACUGAGAGGUUGAACGGCCACAUUGGGACUGAGACACGGCCCAGACUCCUACGGAAGGCAGCAG